RNAcentral lists this ribosomal RNA (255 nucleotides) under uncultured bacterium. Its description in RNAcentral is "partial 16S ribosomal RNA". It matches the Rfam family "Bacterial small subunit ribosomal RNA", at positions 524 to 776 of the family's 1533-position model. The record is from RNAcentral.
UACGUAGGGUGCGAGCGUUGUCCGGAAUUAUUGGGCGUAAAGAGCUUGUAGGUGGCUCGUUGCGUCGGGAGUGAAAACCUGCGGCUUAACCGCAGGCCUGCUUCCGAUACGGGCGAGCUAGAGUUCGGCAGGGGAGAACUGGAAUUCCUGGUGUAGGCGGUGGAAUGCGCAGAUAUCAGGAGGAACACCGGUGGCGAAGGCGGGUCUCUGGGCAGUAACUGACGCUGAGGAGCGAAAGCGUGGGGAGCGAACAGG